GGGCGUAAAGAGCUCGUAGGCCGUUCGGUAAGUCAGAUGUGAAAACUCCAGGCUCAACUUGGAGACGCCAUCUGAUACUGCCGUGACUUGAGUCCGGUAGGGGAGCACGGAAUUCCUGGUGUAGCGGUGAAAUGCGCAGAUAUCAGGAGGAACACCAGCGGCGAAGGCGGUGCUCUGAGCCGGUACUGACGCUGAGGAGCGAAAGCGUGGGGAGCGAACAGGAUUAGAUACCCUGGUAGUCCACGCCGUAAACGGUGGGUGCUAGUUGUGGGCCACAUUCCACGUGGUCCGUGACAAAGUUAACACAUUAAGCACCCCGCCUGGGGAGUACGGUCGCAAGACUAAAACUCAAAGGAAUUGACGGGGGCCCGCACAAGCGGCGGAGCAUGCGGAUUAAUUCGAUGCAACGCGAAGAACCUUACCAAGGCUUGACAUAUAGAGGAAACGUGCAGAAAUGUACGCCCCGCAAGGUCUCUAUACAGGUGGUGCAUGGUUGCCGUCAGCUCGUGUCGUGAGAUGUUGGGUUAAGUCCCGCAACGAGCACAACCCUCGUCCUAUGUUGCCAGCACGUAAUGGUGGGAACUCAUGGGAGACUGCCGGGGUCAACUCGGAGGAAGGUAAU
This 622-nucleotide ribosomal RNA is filed under the name uncultured Actinomycetes bacterium. RNAcentral's name for it is "bacterial SSU rRNA". It matches the Rfam family "Bacterial small subunit ribosomal RNA", at positions 556 to 1177 of the family's 1533-position model. Lineage: Bacteria; Bacillati; Actinomycetota; Actinomycetes. The record is from RNAcentral.